CCUACGGGAGGCAGCAGUGGGGAAUAUUGGACAAUGGGCGCAAGCCUGAUCCAGCCAUACCGCGUGUGUGAAGAAGGCCUUCGGGUUGUAAAGCACUUUAAGUAAGGAAGAAAAGUAUAUUGUUAAUACCAAUGUACCGUGACAUUACUUACAGAAUAAGGACCGGCUAAUUCCGUGCCAGCAGCCGCGGUAAUACGGAAGGUCCAAGCGUUAAUCGGAAUUACUGGGCGUAAAGCGCGCGUAGGUGGUUUAUUAAGUUGGGUGUGAAAGCCCCGGGCUCAACCUGGGAACUGCAUCCAAAACUGAUUCACUAGAGUACGAAAGAGGGAGGUAGAAUUCACAGUGUAGCGGUGGAAUGCGUAGAUAUUGUGAAGAAUACCAAUGGCGAAGGCAGCCUCCUGGUUCUGUACUGACACUGAGGUGCGAAAGCGUGGGUAGCGAACAGGAUUAGAUACCCUGGUAGUCCACGCCGUAAACGAUGACAACCAGCUGUUGGGAAGCAAAGCUUUUCAGUGGCGCAGCUAACGUCUUAAGUUGUCCGCCUGGGGAGUACGGCCGCAAGGUUAAAACUCAAAGGAAUUGACGG
This 586-nucleotide ribosomal RNA is filed under the name uncultured Gammaproteobacteria bacterium. RNAcentral's name for it is "bacterial SSU rRNA". It matches the Rfam family "Bacterial small subunit ribosomal RNA", at positions 338 to 916 of the family's 1533-position model. The record is from RNAcentral. Lineage: Bacteria; Pseudomonadati; Pseudomonadota; Gammaproteobacteria.